GCUUACGGCCAUACCACCCUGAGGGCGCUAGAGAGCUACAGGAAGUGGAAGCUAAGCAGGGUCGGGCCUGGUUAGUACUUGGAUGGGAGAACGCUGGGGAAUAUCAGGUGCUGUAAGCU
Molecule: ribosomal RNA, 119 nt
Filed under: Sinocyclocheilus rhinocerous
Lineage: Eukaryota; Metazoa; Chordata; Actinopteri; Cypriniformes; Cyprinidae
Source: RNAcentral